AGAGUUUGAUCCUGGCUCAGGACUAACGCUGGCGGCGUGCAUAACACAUGCAAGUCGAACGAGAAAGUGGGGGUAACUCCAUGAGUAAAGUGGCAAACGGGUGAGUAAUGUAUGAAUAACCUGCCCUCAAGAUUGGGAUAACCUGCCGAAAGGCGGACUAAUACCGGAUAAGCCCACAUCCCGGUUUUAUCGGGAUGCGGGAAAAGGUGGUCAAUGCUUGCAAACUACCACUUGAGGAGGGGUUCAUAUCCUAUUAGCUAGUUGGUAGGGUAAUGGCCUACCAAGGCAAAGAUGGGUAGCCGGUCUGAGAGGAUGUUCGGCCACACUGGAACUGAGAAACGGUCCAGACUCCUACGGGAGGCAGCAGUGGGGAAUUUUCCGCAAUGGGCGCAAGCCUGACGGAGCAACGCCGCGUGAGGGAUGAAGGUUUUCGGAUCGUAAACCUCUUUCGAUGGGAAAGAAAUUCUUGAUACUAAUAAUGUCAAGAACUGACGGUACCUAGAGAAGAAGCCACGGCCGACUCCGUGCCAGCAGCCGCGGUAAUACGGGGGUGGCAAGCGUUACUCGGAUUUAUUGGGUGUAAAGGGCAGGUAGGCGAUUUGUUAAGUUAGAAGUGAAAUCCUUUGGCUCAACCAAAGAACUGCUUCUAAAACUGACUUAAUUGAGGCUAAAAGAGGAGAGCGGAAUUCCCGGUGUAAGAGUGAAAUCUGUAGAUAUCGGGAGGAACACCAGUGGCGAAGGCGGCUCUCUGGUUUAUGCCUGACGCUGAUCUGCGAAAGCUAGGGGAGCAAACAGGAUUAGAUACCCUGGUAGUCC
RNAcentral lists this ribosomal RNA (816 nucleotides) under uncultured bacterium. RNAcentral's name for it is "bacterial SSU rRNA". It matches the Rfam family "Bacterial small subunit ribosomal RNA", at positions 8 to 796 of the family's 1533-position model. The record is from RNAcentral.